GAGGGUAUAGCUUAGUGGUAGAGUGUGUGCAUAGCAUGCAGGAGGUCCUGGGUUCAAUCCCUAGCACCUCCA
RNAcentral lists this transfer RNA (72 nucleotides) under Camelus dromedarius (Arabian camel). It matches the Rfam family "tRNA". From Rfam's summary of the family: Transfer RNA (tRNA) molecules are approximately 80 nucleotides in length. Their secondary structure includes four short double-helical elements and three loops (D, anti-codon, and T loops). RNAcentral also lists the same sequence under 1 other name. The record is from Rfam by way of RNAcentral. Lineage: Eukaryota; Metazoa; Chordata; Mammalia; Artiodactyla; Camelidae.